Long non-coding RNA from Neofelis nebulosa (Clouded leopard), 369 nucleotides. RefSeq lists it as uncharacterized. Lineage: Eukaryota; Metazoa; Chordata; Mammalia; Carnivora; Felidae. The record is from RefSeq and is a predicted model, not a curated record. The transcript has 3 exons.
AAGAACAGGAGAGAGCAGGACCUCUGCUCCCUGCACUGCUGUGUCCCCAACUAGAAUCAUAGCAGACGUUCACAAUUUAUUUGAAAACAAUGUGGUGGUAACCUUGAAAACCAACAUCCACAACCAUGCCGAAAACCAGCAAACUGGCAGCCACUGGAAGGAGACAGAGCAGUCAGGGCUGGAGCUCCUUCAAAGCCCCAUUCCCAGAGAACUGUCAUUAUCUGACCUGCCUGGUGGUUUCCUAGAAGACCCUACUUACCAGACACACUGCACCCCCGCAAACCUCCGGACACAUCUUCCCACCUCCACGUCCUCGUGAGUCGUGUACAUUUCCCGGAGACACUUUCCAAUGUGCGGCACCAUUCUCCG